Molecule: ribosomal RNA, 497 nt
Filed under: uncultured bacterium
Lineage: Bacteria
Description: partial 16S ribosomal RNA
Rfam family: Bacterial small subunit ribosomal RNA
Source: RNAcentral
GAUGAACGCUGGCGGCGUGCCUAAUACAUGCAAGUCGAGCGAACAGACGAGGAGCUUGCUCCUCUGACGUUAGCGGCGGACGGGUGAGUAACACGUGGAUAACCUACCUAUAAGACUGGGAUAAAUUCGGGAAACCGGAGCUAAUACCGGAUAAUAUAUUGAACAGCAUGGUUCAAUAGUGAAAGACGGUUUUGCUGUCACUUAUAGAUGGAUCCGCGCCGCAUUAGCUAGUUGGUAAGGUAACGGCUUACCAAGGCAACGAUGCGUAGCCGACCUGAGAGGGUGAUCGGCCACACUGGAACUGAGACACGGUCCAGACUCCUACGGGAGGCAGCAGUAGGGAAUCUUCCGCAAUGGGCGAGAGCCUGACGGAGCAACGCCGCGUGAGUGAUGAUGGUCUUCGGAUCGUAAAACUCUGUUAUUAGGGAAGAACAAAUGUGUAAGUAACUAUGCACGUCUUGACGGUACCUAAUCAGAAAGCCACGGCUAACUACGUG